UUAGUACUCCCUCUGUCCCAAAAUUCUUGUCUUAGGUUUGUCUAGAAAUAAAUGUAUCUGAAUACUAAAACAUGACUAGAUACAUUUAUAUCUAGAUAAAUUCAAGACAAGAAUUUUGAGACGAAGGGAGCAUUGA
Molecule: non-coding RNA, 136 nt
Organism: Hordeum vulgare subsp. vulgare (domesticated barley)
Lineage: Eukaryota; Viridiplantae; Streptophyta; Magnoliopsida; Poales; Poaceae
Source: Rfam